This 448-nucleotide ribosomal RNA is filed under the name uncultured bacterium. RNAcentral's name for it is "bacterial SSU rRNA". It matches the Rfam family "Bacterial small subunit ribosomal RNA", at positions 329 to 795 of the family's 1533-position model. The record is from RNAcentral.
UGCCAGACUCCUACGGGAGGCAGCAGUGGGGGAUAUUGCACAAUGGGGGGAACCCUGAUGCAGCGACGCCGCGUGGGUGAAGAAGCGCCUCGGCGCGUAAAGCCCUGUCAGCAGGGAAGAAAAUGACGGUACCUGAAGAAGAAGCCCCGGCUAACUACGUGCCAGCAGCCGCGGUAAUACGUAGGGAGCAAGCGUUGUCCGGAAUUACUGGGUGUAAAGGGAGCGUAGGCGGGAUAGUAAGUUGAUUGUUAAAACUAUCGGCUCAACUGGUAGAUGCGAUCAAAACUGCAAUUCUUGAGUGAAGUAGAGGCAGGCGGAAUUCCUAGUGUAGCGGUGAAAUGCGUAGAUAUUAGGAGGAACACCAGUGGCGAAGGCGGCCUGCUGGGCUUUAACUGACGCUGAGGCUCGAAAGUGUGGGUAGUAAACAGGAUUAGAUACCCUCGUACUG